GACGAACGCUGGCGGCGUGCUUAACACAUGCAAGUCGAACGGAAAGGCCCUGCUUUUGUGGGGUGCUCGAGUGGCGAACGGGUGAGUAACACGUGAGUAACCUGCCCUUGACUUUGGGAUAACUUCAGGAAACUGGGGCUAAUACCGGAUAGGAGCUCCUGCUGCAUGGUGGGGGUUGGAAAGUUUCGGCGGUUGGGGGUGGACUCGCGGCUUAUCAGCUUGUUGGUGGGGUAGUGGCUUACCAAGGCUUUGACGGGUAGCCGGCCUGAGAGGGUGACCGGCGACAUUGGGACUGAGAUACGGCCCAGACUCCUACGGGAGGCAGCAGUGGGGAAUAUUGCACAAUGGGCGGAAGCCUGAUGCAGCAACGCCGCGUGCGGGAUGACGGCCUUCGGGUUGUAAACCGCUUUCGCCUGUGACGAAGCGUGAGUGACGGUAAUGGGUAAAGAAGCACCGGCUAACUACGUG
Molecule: ribosomal RNA, 468 nt
Filed under: uncultured bacterium
Lineage: Bacteria
Description: partial 16S ribosomal RNA
Rfam family: Bacterial small subunit ribosomal RNA
Source: RNAcentral